Molecule: ribosomal RNA, 500 nt
Filed under: uncultured bacterium
Lineage: Bacteria
Description: bacterial SSU rRNA
Rfam family: Bacterial small subunit ribosomal RNA
Source: RNAcentral
CUCUUCGGGGAUGAUUAAACCGGCGCACGGGUGAGUAACACGUGAGUGACCUGCCUUUUAGACUGGAACAACUUACCGAAAGGUGAGCUAAUGCCGGAUGAGUUAUAUAAGUGCAUGUUUAUAUAGGAAAAGUUGGGGAGACCUGACGCUGAAAGAUGGACUCGCGUCCCAUUAGCUAGUUGGUAGGGUAAUGGCCUACCAAGGCGACGAUGGGUAGCCGGCCUGAGAGGGUGGCCGGCCACACUGGGACUGAGACACGGCCCAGACUCCUACGGGAGGCAGCAGUGGGGAAUUUUGCGCAAUGCUCGUAAGAGUGACGCAGCGACGCCGCGUGAAUGACGAAGGCCUUCGGGUCGUAAAGUUCUUUCGACAGGGAAGAAAAUGCCUAUAAGUAACUGUGUAUGUAUUGACGGUACCUGUAUAAGCAGCCCCGGCUAACUCCGUGCCAGCAGCCGCGGUAAUACGGAGGGGGCGAGCGUUGUUCGGAGUGACUGGGCGUA